This 220-nucleotide long non-coding RNA is filed under the name Gossypium raimondii (Peruvian cotton). RNAcentral describes it as "long non-coding RNA (GRAI_LNC004535)". Lineage: Eukaryota; Viridiplantae; Streptophyta; Magnoliopsida; Malvales; Malvaceae. The record is from RNAcentral.
UCGGCCACAACACCCUACCAACCUCCCAUAUUUGAAAUUCCUUGAUUCACUCUCCAAUCUCAUCCUUGAUUUGCUCCACAAUUCCAUCCAAGACCAGUUUAAACUUCACCUUACAGAGUUUCAGUCAAACUCCACCUCUCUUACCACAAAGAAAUAAAAUAAAUAUCCCUUUGCAUUCCAUGAGAUUCUAACCCAAGCUCUCACAAUAGCCAUGUCACGC